CGUGUAGCGGUGAAAUGCGUAGAGAUGUGGAGGAACACCAGUGGCGAAGGCGACUCUCUGGUCUGUAACUGACGCUGAGGAGCGAAAGCGUGGGGAGCGAACAGGAUUAGAUACCCUGGUAGUCCACGCCGUAAACGAUGAGUGCUAAGUGUUAGGGGGUUUCCGCCCCUUAGUGCUGCAGCUAACGCAUUAAGCACUCCGCCUGGGGAGUACGGUCGCAAGACUGAAACUCAAAGGAAUUGACGGGGGCCCGCACAAGCGGUGGAGCAUGUGGUUUAAUUCGAAGCAACGCGAAGAACCUUACCAGGUCUUGACAUCCUCUGACAAUCCUAGAGAUAGGACGUCCCCUUCGGGGGCAGAGUGACAGGUGGUGCAUGGUUGUCGUCAGCUCGUGUCGUGAGAUGUUGGGUUAAGUCCCGCAACGAGCGCAACCCUUGAUCUUAGUUGCCAGCAUUCAGUUGGGCACU
This 467-nucleotide ribosomal RNA is filed under the name Bacillus subtilis. RNAcentral's name for it is "bacterial SSU rRNA". It matches the Rfam family "Bacterial small subunit ribosomal RNA", at positions 672 to 1139 of the family's 1533-position model. The record is from RNAcentral. Lineage: Bacteria; Bacillati; Bacillota; Bacilli; Caryophanales; Bacillaceae.